GCCAGCGUGGCACAGUGGUUUGAGAGUUGGACUAGGACUCUGGAGAGCAGGGUUCGAAUCCCAGCUUGGCC
Phrynosoma platyrhinos (Desert horned lizard) is the source of this 71-nucleotide non-coding RNA. The record is from the annotation of a GenBank genome assembly. Lineage: Eukaryota; Metazoa; Chordata; Lepidosauria; Squamata; Phrynosomatidae.